This 386-nucleotide ribosomal RNA is filed under the name uncultured bacterium. RNAcentral's name for it is "bacterial SSU rRNA". It matches the Rfam family "Bacterial small subunit ribosomal RNA", at positions 29 to 417 of the family's 1533-position model. The record is from RNAcentral.
AUUGAACGCUGGCGGCAUGCCUUACACAUGCAAGUCGAACGGCAGCACGGGGGCAACCCUGGUGGCGAGUGGCGAACGGGUGAGUAAUGCAUCGGAACGUGUCCUCUUGUGGGGGAUAACCAGUCGAAAGAUUGGCUAAUACCGCAUGAGAUCGAGAGAUGAAAGCGGGGGACCGCAAGGCCUCGCGCGAGAGGAGCGGCCGAUGCCGGAUUAGCAGUUGGUGGGGUAAAAGCCUACCAAGGCGACGAUCCGUAGCUGGUCUGAGAGGACGACCAGCCACACUGGGACUGAGACACGGCCCAGACUCCUACGGGAGGCAGCAGUGGGGAAUUUUGGACAAUGGGCGCAAGCCUGAUCCAGCCAUGCCGCGUGUGUGAAGAAGGCCU